GACGAACGCUGGCGGCGUGCUUAACACAUGCAAGUCGAACGGGAGUAUUGAAGAAGCUUGCUUUAGAGAUACUUUAGUGGCGGACGGGUGAGUAACGCGUGAGGAGCUGUCCGAUGCAGGGGGACAACAGUUGGAAACGACUGCUAAUACCCCAUAAGCCGAGAGGUAAAAGGAUUUAUCCGGCAAUGGAGGUACUCGCGUCCUAUCAGCUAGUAGGUGAGGUAACGGCUCACCUAGGCGAAGACGGGUAGCCGGCCUGAGAGGGCGAACGGCCACACUGGAACUGAGAUACGGUCCAGACUCCUACGGGAGGCAGCAGUGGGGAAUAUUGGGCAAUGGGGGGAACCCUGACCCAGCGACGCCGCGUGGGUGAAGAAAUCCUUCGGGAUGUAAAGCCCUGUUGUAUGGGAAGAGCGGAAGACGGUACCAUACGAGGAAGCCCCGGCCAACUACGUG
This 456-nucleotide ribosomal RNA is filed under the name uncultured bacterium. RNAcentral describes it as "bacterial SSU rRNA". It matches the Rfam family "Bacterial small subunit ribosomal RNA", at positions 28 to 507 of the family's 1533-position model. The record is from RNAcentral.